UUACGGCCACAUCACGUUGAAACACCGGUUUUCGUUUGAUCACCGAAGUUAAGCAAUGUCAGUACCAAGAUGGGUGACCAUUUGGGAAUACCAGGGAAUGU
Molecule: non-coding RNA, 101 nt
Organism: Acanthosepion pharaonis
Lineage: Eukaryota; Metazoa; Mollusca; Cephalopoda; Sepiida; Sepiidae
Source: the annotation of a GenBank genome assembly